AACGCACAUUGCGCCCUUUGGCAUUCCGAGGGGCAUGCCCGUUCGAGCGUCAUUACACCACCUCAAGCCCCGCUUGGUGAUGGGUGCCCGGGCCAUCGAUGGGACCCCCAUCGAUUCCGGCGCCCCGAAUUCAUGGGCCGGCCGUCGCCGUCCGACCGCGUUGUGGCACGCUUUCAUGCUCGCGGACGGGGGAGUGGCGGCCGUCGCCGUUAAGCCUUCUAUCACAGGUUGACCUCGGAUCGGGUAGGGAUACCCGCUGAACUUAA
Molecule: unclassified non-coding RNA, 266 nt
Filed under: uncultured fungus
Lineage: Eukaryota; Fungi
Description: partial contains 5.8S ribosomal RNA, internal transcribed spacer 2, and large subunit ribosomal RNA
Source: RNAcentral